UGAUAACAUUCAAAACUCAAAAGUUCCAGAAAUUCAAAUACAAGAUAUUGAAAAUCAAGGUGUUUCAAAUACAUUAGAAGAUGAAGAUCAAGUUAUUCCGAACACACUAGAUGAAGAAGGACAACCAGUAGAUGAAGACGAAGGUUUACACAUUGUCUCUAUUUAGAGACUUUGAAGAGGAAUUUGGCUACUCAAUGGCGACCACAGUACAAAUUCUAGGGAGAACUGAAGAAAACAUUAUUCUUUAUGAAGUAUCGCUAGA
Long non-coding RNA from Chenopodium quinoa (quinoa), 262 nucleotides. RefSeq lists it as uncharacterized. Lineage: Eukaryota; Viridiplantae; Streptophyta; Magnoliopsida; Caryophyllales; Amaranthaceae. The record is from RefSeq and is a predicted model, not a curated record. The transcript is spliced from 3 exons.